GACGAACGCUGGCGGCGUGCUUAACACAUGCAAGUCGAACGGAAAGGCCCCUUUGGGGGUACUCGAGUGGCGAACGGGUGAGUAACACGUGAGUAACCUGCCCUUGACUUCGGGAUAACUUCAGGAAACUGGGGCUAAUACCGGAUAGGAAUCCUUGCUGCAUGGUGGGGGUUGGAAAGCUUCGGCGGUUUUGGAUGGACUCGCGGCUUAUCAGCUUGUUGGUGGGGUAGUGGCUUACCAAGGCUUUGACGGGUAGCCGGUCUGAGAGGGCGACCGGCCACAUUGGGACUGAGAUACGGCCCAGACUCCUACGGGAGGCAGCAGUGGGGAAUAUUGCACAAUGGGCGGAAGCCUGAUGCAGCAACGCCGCGUGCGGGAUGACGGCCUUCGGGUUGUAAACCGCUUUCAGCAGGGGCGAAGCUUGUGGUGACGGUACCUGCAGAAGAAGCACCGGCUAACUACGUG
Molecule: ribosomal RNA, 465 nt
Filed under: uncultured bacterium
Lineage: Bacteria
Description: partial 16S ribosomal RNA
Rfam family: Bacterial small subunit ribosomal RNA
Source: RNAcentral